UUGGCUUCAUGUUUUCAUUGAGAAGCAUACAUUAAUGAGUCAAAUCAAAUUUGUGUAUGUUGUUUAAUGAAGCCAAAUAUAAAAUGUUCCCCUCGCUAUCCGGUGUCUACUUUUAAUGUUGCAUUUGGACGUUGGGAAACUACAAUU
Molecule: small nucleolar RNA, 147 nt
Organism: Cannabis sativa
Lineage: Eukaryota; Viridiplantae; Streptophyta; Magnoliopsida; Rosales; Cannabaceae
Product: small nucleolar RNA snoR136
Exons: 1
Source: RefSeq, a predicted model, not a curated record